AAGUUUCAACAACGGAUCUCAUGGCUCUCGCAUCGAUGAAGAACGCAGCGAAAUGCGAUAAGUAAUGUGAAUUGCAGAAUUCAGUGAAUCAUCGAAUCUUUCAACGCACCUUGCGCUCCUUGGUAUUCCUUGGAGCAUGCCUGUUUGAGUAUCAU
Molecule: ribosomal RNA, 155 nt
Filed under: Rhizoctonia solani
Lineage: Eukaryota; Fungi; Basidiomycota; Agaricomycetes; Cantharellales; Ceratobasidiaceae
Description: 5.8S ribosomal RNA
Rfam family: 5.8S ribosomal RNA
About the family: 5.8S ribosomal RNA (5.8S rRNA) is a component of the large subunit of the eukaryotic ribosome. It is transcribed by RNA polymerase I as part of the 45S precursor that also contains 18S and 28S rRNA.
Source: RNAcentral